This is a long non-coding RNA of Diorhabda carinulata, 682 nucleotides long. RefSeq lists it as uncharacterized. The transcript is spliced from 2 exons. The record is from RefSeq and is a predicted model, not a curated record. Lineage: Eukaryota; Metazoa; Arthropoda; Insecta; Coleoptera; Chrysomelidae.
UGUAAUGACUGAAAUAAACUUUUUUCUAAAUUUUUAAUAUCAUAUAUGGAACGUGGAAUCUUAGAAUUUAAAACGUCAAUGAAUAAUAUUCCGAUUUACCAAGCCGUUUUUAUCUCCUUUGAAAGACACUUCAACUUUAGGUGUAUACUAAUCACGUAGUUUAGUAUGUGAACUCCUUUAAAUUACCAAUACAUCGAAUUUUCAAUAUUUUUAGCAAUAGGUCUCCAUUUACGAGUUGGUAGAUGACAUUUGAACUACCAAUUUUGUGAAUUUCUGAUUUUUAAGCAUUUAAAACGUUUCAAUUUCCCUGCAAUACAACUCCAUUUUCUCUUUCUUCGAGACAGAGAAUUGUUAAGUGACAUCUGAACUACUGCUUUGAAUUUUCUGAAUUUAUGAUCCAGUUCUUCAUAUAUAAGCAUUAAAAACGUUACAGUUUCCUUUGUACGCAUAAAAAGUUAUGGAAAAAUAUAUGUUGAAGGAUAAAUUAUCAAAUUUUACAAAUAAUUACACAAUAAUAUAAACUUUCAUAUAAGGUAAAAGUACCUACUUUUGUGUUUAUAUCAUUAUUUAUAAGUUUGUACUAAUAAGUAUUGCAAUUGCUGCAAUCUACAUUUUUUAACUAUUAUAUAUCGAAUGAAUGUUACGAUUUUAAAAAAUCAAUGAAUAAAUAUUUGUUUGUCAA